Molecule: transfer RNA, 73 nt
Filed under: Onygena corvina
Lineage: Eukaryota; Fungi; Ascomycota; Eurotiomycetes; Onygenales; Onygenaceae
Description: tRNA-Asp
Source: RNAcentral
GGGUUAGUAACUUAAUAGGCAAAGUGUUUUCUUGUCGAGAAAAUAGAUAUCGGAUCGAUGCCGAUUUAACCCG